This 867-nucleotide ribosomal RNA is filed under the name uncultured bacterium. RNAcentral's name for it is "bacterial SSU rRNA". It matches the Rfam family "Bacterial small subunit ribosomal RNA", at positions 8 to 857 of the family's 1533-position model. The record is from RNAcentral.
AGAGUUUGAUCCUGGCUCAGGAUGAACGCUAGCGACAGGCUUAACACAUGCAAGUCGAGGGGCAGCGGGGAGUGAAGCUUGCUUCACUUUGCCGGCGACCGGCGCACGGGUGAGUAACACGUAUGCAACCUGCCCGAAACAGGGGGAUAAGCGGAAGAAAUUCCGUCUAAUACCGCAUAACACCUUGCUGAGACAUCUUAGUGAGGUCAAAGGAUUUCGAUCCGGUUUCGGAUGGGCAUGCGGCGCAUUAGCUAGUCGGCGGGGUAACGGCCCACCGAGGCGACGAUGCGUAGGGGUUCUGAGAGGAAGGUCCCCCACACUGGUACUGAGACACGGACCAGACUCCUACGGGAGGCAGCAGUGAGGAAUAUUGGUCAAUGGGCGAGAGCCUGAACCAGCCAAGUCGCGUGAGGGAAGACGGUCCUAUGGAUUGUAAACCUCUUUUGUCAGGGAGCAAGAAAUCUCACGAGUGGGAUAGCGAGAGUACCUGAAGAAAAAGCAUCGGCUAACUCCGUGCCAGCAGCCGCGGUAAUACGGAGGAUGCGAGCGUUAUCCGGAUUUAUUGGGUUUAAAGGGUGCGCAGGCGGAAGUGGUAAGUCAGCGGUAAAAUAGCGAGGCUCAACCUCGUCGAGCCGUUGAAACUGCUCUUCUAGAGUGGGCGAGAAGUACGCGGAAUGCGUGGUGUAGCGGUGAAAUGCAUAGAUAUCACGCAGAACUCCGAUUGCGAAGGCAGCGUACCGGCGCCCAACUGACGCUCAGGCACGAAAGCGUGGGUAUCGAACAGGAUUAGAUACCCUGGUAGUCCACGCAGUAAACGAUGAAUACUAAUUGUUCGGUUAGAAUGAUAGCUGAGUGAUACAGCGGAAA